UGCGGUUUUACUCUUUUUUUUAUUGCUUUAUUAUUGUUCAUCCGUAUAAUUCGCCCUUCACGUAGUGGCUGAAUCAGAGAUUGGCUGCUGCAAAUAUUAAACACUCUUACUCAGGAGAGA
Molecule: unclassified non-coding RNA, 120 nt
Filed under: Aliivibrio wodanis
Lineage: Bacteria; Pseudomonadati; Pseudomonadota; Gammaproteobacteria; Vibrionales; Vibrionaceae
Description: ribosomal S15 leader
Source: RNAcentral